RNAcentral lists this ribosomal RNA (252 nucleotides) under uncultured bacterium. RNAcentral's name for it is "partial 16S ribosomal RNA". It matches the Rfam family "Bacterial small subunit ribosomal RNA", at positions 524 to 775 of the family's 1533-position model. The record is from RNAcentral.
UACGUAGGGGGCGAGCGUUGUCCGAAGUUACUGGGCGUAAAGCGCGUGUAGGCGGGUCUUUAAGUGAGGGGUGAAAGGUUUGGGCUUAACCCAGACACUGCCUUUCAUACUGGAGACCUUGAGUGCGGGAGAGGCGAGUGGAAUGGUCGGUGUAGCGGUGAAAUGCGUAGAUAUCGAUCGGAACACCCAUGGCGAAGGCAGCUCGCUGGCCUGUAACUGACGCUGAGACGCGAAAGCGUGGGGAGCAAACAG